CAGGUGGGACCAUCCAGUUUCAGGAAAACAAGCUUAACACGCCCACUGAUUCUACAUUAUGCUCCUACCUCCCGGCAGCCUCGCCAGGCCCAGAACUCUCUCCAGUCAGCCUCUACAGACCAAGCUCAUGACUCACAAUGGCCUAUUGAGGCCCAUACCCUACCUCACGGCAGUCUCCGCAGAUGAGCCUACUGCCUCACAACAGCCUCCACAGGCACAGCUCCAUCGUUACAAUGGCCUCUUUAGACCCAGCUCCUGCCUCCCAGCCUUCUCUCCAGGCCCUGAACUUUCUCCGUGGGACCAUCCAGUUUCAGGAAAACAAGCUUAACACGCCCACUGAUUCUACAUUAUGAUUCUUCAGGCCCAGCAUCUGCCUCACUGUGGACCCCCCAAGCCAAGCUCCCAACCUUUCAGCAGCUUCUACACACCCAGCUCCCGCCUGCCAGUGGCCUCUUCAGGCCCAUGGGGCUCAUUCCUCACAACAGCCUUUCCAGUCCCAGUUUUUCCCUUCCGGCGGCCUCUCCGGGCUGAGAACCUCCUCAAGUCGGCCUCUCCAGACCCACUUGCACCCUCCAGGCGUCCUCUCCGGGCCAAGCUCCUCUUCCUGGCUGUGUCUCCAGGCCCGACUCCUGCCUCUCAACAACGUCUUUGGACUCAGUGCCUACCCAUCUCCUGGCGUCCUUGGUCGGCCCACAGCUUCCUCAAGCCAAGCUCCCCAGGCCCAGGUCAGGCCUCACGGUGCCCCCUCCACGAUGAGCUCCUGCCCUCCAAUGGCACCUGCAGGCCCCAAAUGGUCUCCGGUCGGUGGGCUCCUCCACGCCAAGCUUGGGCCUCCCGGUGACCUCUGCAGGCCCAAGUUGUCCUGAAGUCAGCAUCUCCCAGCCGUGCCUCCCAGCAAGUAAGCAAGCUCUUUUGGCUCAACUCCUGCCCAGCUCCCAGCCGCCUUUGUAGGUCCCGAACUUUCUCCAGCCACGUUCUUUGGGCCUCAUUCCUGCCGCCCGGUGGCCUGUACGGGCCCAGCAAUGGUUGGAGAACGGCCUCUGCAGGUCCCGCUCUUGCCUCCCAGGGGCCUCUCCAGGCCCAGCUCUCGCCCCCACGGCGGCCACCCGGGGCCAAGUCCCUGCCUGCCUCCCAGCAGCCCGCA
This is a long non-coding RNA of Gorilla gorilla gorilla (western lowland gorilla), 1144 nucleotides long. RefSeq lists it as uncharacterized. NCBI's taxonomy places the organism in Eukaryota, Metazoa, Chordata, Mammalia, Primates, Hominidae. The transcript has 4 exons. The record is from RefSeq and is a predicted model, not a curated record.